This 204-nucleotide ribosomal RNA is filed under the name Triticum aestivum (bread wheat). Its description in RNAcentral is "partial small subunit ribosomal RNA". Lineage: Eukaryota; Viridiplantae; Streptophyta; Magnoliopsida; Poales; Poaceae. The record is from RNAcentral.
AUGAUCGAUGUAUUUGUUUGCGAUCGUGCGUUUGCUCCAAUUUGCAGACAUUUGAUGCUUGGCGAGUUCAACUGCACGGGGCCAGGGGCCGAGGCGUCGCAGCGCGUGCCGUGGUCGCGGCGGUUAGACCAGGCCGAGGCGGCCAAGUUCCUCACCGUCGACUUCAUCAACGGCAAGGAGUGGCUCCCGGCGUUCUACUACUGA